UACGGGGGGGAGCAAGCGUUGUUCGGAUUUACUGGCGUAAAGGGCGCGUAGGCGGUCAGCACAAGUCAGUUGUGAAAUCUCCGGGCUUAACUCGGAAAGGUCAACUGAUACUGUGCGACUAGAGUGCAGAAGGGGCAACUGGAAUUCUCGGUGUAGCGGUGAAAUGCGUAGAUAUCGAGAGGAACACCUGCGGCGAAGGCGGGUUGCUGGGCUGACACUGACGCUGAUGCGCGAAAGCCAGGGGAGCGAAGCGGG
This 255-nucleotide ribosomal RNA is filed under the name uncultured bacterium. RNAcentral describes it as "partial 16S ribosomal RNA". It matches the Rfam family "Bacterial small subunit ribosomal RNA", at positions 524 to 777 of the family's 1533-position model. The record is from RNAcentral.